RNAcentral lists this small nuclear RNA (150 nucleotides) under Carlito syrichta (Philippine tarsier). Its description in RNAcentral is "U12 minor spliceosomal RNA (ENSTSYG00000033283.1)". It matches the Rfam family "U12 minor spliceosomal RNA". Rfam says of the family: Although the U12 sequence is very divergent from that of U2, the two are functionally analogous. The record is from Rfam by way of RNAcentral. Lineage: Eukaryota; Metazoa; Chordata; Mammalia; Primates; Tarsiidae.
AUGCCUUAAACUAAUGAGUAAGGAAGAUAACGAUUCGGGAUGACAACUGAAUCUUCACUGCUAAUGUGAGACCAGUCCUUGAAUGGGUAAAGGUUGCCCCUAAGGUGACUCACCUACUUUGCAUAAUGCCUGGGAGUUGUGAUCUGUCCA